CCUACGGGCGGCAGCAGUGAGGAAUAUUGGUCAAUGGACGAGAGUCUGAACCAGCCAAGUAGCGUGAAGGAUGACUGCCCUAUGGGUUGUAAACUUCUUUUAUAAAGGAAUAAAACAAGGCACGUGUGCCUUUUUGCAUGUACUUUAUGAAUAAGGAUCGACUAACUCCGUGCCAGCAGCCGCGGUAAUACGGAGGAUCCGAGCGUUAUCCGGAUUUAUUGGGUUUAAAGGGAGCGUAGAUGGGUUGUUAAGUCAGUGGUGAAAGUUUGCGGCUCAACCGUAAAAUUGCAAUUGAUACUGGUAGUCUUGAGUACAGUUGAGGUAGGCGGAAUUCGUGGUGUAGCGGUGAAAUGCUUAGAGAUCACGAAGAACCCCGAUUGCGAAGGCAGCUUACUAAACUGUGACUGACAUUGAUGCUCGAAAGUGUGGGUAUCAAACAGGAUUAGAUACCCCGGUAGUC
RNAcentral lists this ribosomal RNA (460 nucleotides) under uncultured bacterium. RNAcentral describes it as "partial 16S ribosomal RNA". It matches the Rfam family "Bacterial small subunit ribosomal RNA", at positions 338 to 795 of the family's 1533-position model. The record is from RNAcentral.